UGUAGCUCCAUGGUAGAGCACUUGCCUGACAUGUAUGAGGCCCUGGGGUCAAUCCCCAGCA
RNAcentral lists this transfer RNA (61 nucleotides) under Heterocephalus glaber (naked mole-rat). It matches the Rfam family "tRNA", at positions 6 to 65 of the family's 71-position model. From Rfam's summary of the family: Transfer RNA (tRNA) molecules are approximately 80 nucleotides in length. Their secondary structure includes four short double-helical elements and three loops (D, anti-codon, and T loops). Lineage: Eukaryota; Metazoa; Chordata; Mammalia; Rodentia; Bathyergidae. The record is from Rfam by way of RNAcentral.